Molecule: long non-coding RNA, 4413 nt
Filed under: Bemisia tabaci
Lineage: Eukaryota; Metazoa; Arthropoda; Insecta; Hemiptera; Aleyrodidae
Description: lncRNA ENSSSA3NGG010995
Source: RNAcentral
GCCAGCGCCGACCAAACCUACAAUCCUCCAGGUCCGCGAAAGUAAAAGUUCCGCGGCGCAAGGGGAACCCCCUCCUCAGAGGAGCCCUGCCGCCCCCCUCCUGGGGAGGGGGAAGGUCGCCGUCGCAUGCGACCAAAGAGAGGGAAAAUAAGUUGUUAUAUAUUAAUAAUUCUGGUAUCUUUCACCGUUACUCGAAAUACUCGCGAAUCAAAUGGUGCCGUGUCGUGGUGCGAAAGUUCGGACUUUUUGGACUUGUGGUACAGUGCUUUGUGGAAAAUUUGGAGUGAUUGGAGUAACCAUGAAAUUUCUGGUGUGCCUCCUGCUGGUCUCAUUGGCCUGUCACGGCGCCCUCGCCCGUCACUCGGACGACAAGCGCCCCAGCAGGCCUGUCCGGGAGAACCGGGACCACCCCCCGCGAGGAACCCGCGACUCCCACCGAGACCAGAGCCGCCGCGAGUCCCAGAUGUCAGCCUCCUUCACCAAGCGGGAGGAGCCACCCAAGCACCUCAAGGUCGUCCAAGGUGGAGUCCAGAGCUCCUUCCCGUACCAGUUCGUCAACCCGAUGAUCCCACCCUCCUUCGCCUACUCGCCCGGACCACAGUACUCCAACACGGUCCACCCAUACACACCCCACUUGAACGCCCCCUAUGACGCCUACUCUGCCCCUAAGGCAGGCACCUCCCCAGCCCCGACUGUCGUCAAGUACGAGUUCCUUCCAAAACCGGCACCCCAGACUGCGCCUGCCCCUGCCUAUUCCCAGCAAUCCUUCUCGCAAGGUCCCUCCCAUGGCCAUGGCCACUACGCCCAACCCGCGCCCUACCCCCAUCUCAUCCCCACCCCCGCCCCAGCAAUGCUCCUCGUCAUGGCCCCGCCCCACCCAGGCAACCCCUACGGUGCCCUCAUGCUAAUUCCCACCCAGAACCAAGGCGUCUUUCCCCAACAGCCUCUCACGCUCAUCCCUGUACCAACUGCAGUACCCUCUGGUGCUGGAUUCCGUGGUCCUGUUGCCUACCCCACUGUCGCCCAUCCUAACCUCAUUCCCGUUAGCUUCAAGCCUAUCCACUACCAGCGACAACCGUACCCGCAGUUCGUCCAUGCGCAGAACUUCGGUCAGAACUAUGCGCCCAAGUCGAUGAGUCAAAGCGCAGGAACGCAGUCUGAGGAGACGCAGAUGUCGGAGACGAACUCACAGAUGGACAUGACGAACGGACACACGCACAGCCAGAGCAGUACCAAAGAGCAGACGUUUGGCAACAAAGUACCAAAUUUUAGGCCCAUUUCCGUACCGUCGUAAGGACGGUAUCUGGAGAUUUUGCUAGCCUAAAUGAAAUGUUCCGUGAAAGGAAACAAAAAACAUGACGUCCUCCCUAAACUCUUCGCAAGCAGGGGUAAGGAUCGUUUCAUGAGUGUAGAUGAAACGCGUCCGAUAGGAACAGUUUGUUUUGUUCACACAGCAUCUUGAUUUUCCAAAUUUUGAUCAAAGUCAGCCGCUAAAGAUAAAUGACACAUACAUACAUAAAGCCGCUUUUAUAGCGCAGCCUCGCGCUCUGCGACACCCAAUCGCCAUUGCCCCCUAUCCUCCCAGAGAUCAUUAGGCAAUUGGCACCUUCUGAUCUCCUCCUCCACCCCUUGUCGCCACCCUUUCACAGGACGUCCACGCCGUCGCCUUCCGGGAGGCAAAUGACACAUACUUUCUUUAUAAGAAAAGGAGGAAAAUAUACAAAUACAUAGUGGAACUCCAAACAGGGGAAAAAACAAAUACAAAAACAUAAUUCACCUUUUAAGGAAUGGCUCCACCUGUUUUAAAUUUGAUCAUUUGAAUCGCAUGCGAGCUUUUACUUUUAAUUGAUGUUACAAAAACUAAAAAAUUGUGAAAUGUAAACGGUAUUUAUUUUUAAAUUGUAUAUCCACACGUUGAACCUCAAUUUUGUCUAAAAAAGAUUAUGCACGUUUGAAAAAAAGAUGGAAGAAGAGAGCCAUAUUGUUCUUUUGAAAACGUUCCCGGACGCAUUUCCAUCUGACACAAUACACUAAUUCACUCUGAAGUUGAAGCAGGAGUGAAACUUAGCACCUUGAAGUGAAGAAAAGGUCUACUUUUAACACAAUAAAAAAACCCAUGGUUUGACUGUAUGCUGUAGUUAUGUCAAUCGUUUAGAAUUGACCCUUCAGCAUUGAUGUGUUUAAGAUAUGAUGCCAUUCAGGAAUGAUAUUUUUGUGAAAAUUUGAAACUGAAUUGCUGAGGACUUUAACAAAUUAGAAAGCACACCUAUCUUCGCAAUCAACAACAAAUAAUGCGUCGGAUAGGAUAUUUAUGGUGCGGUAAAGAGUAACAUUAUUUAUAGUUAUUUUCUCUUGGAGAAAGAUGGAUCCCACGAAAAAUCAAUAUUAUCAUCACGUAGAAAAUGAGAAAAUACCUCAAAAAAUUAUGCCUGAAUAUUUCCUGGACCCAAACCGAGACAUCCGUUGGUGAUUCAGGACAAGAAUUUUAUGCGUCGCGAAAUCUGCGCAGGAAAAGUUAAACUGCCUUACACGGAAAAAAAAGGGUAGUCGACACAACCAGAAAGGUAGUUAAAACAGCGCCAGCUACGGUGCGGUAGUUACGAUAACUGGCGGUGGAGGUCACUACUAACCCGGUAGUUACAUCAACAUCCUCAUUAUGUUGAUGUAACUACCGGGUUGGUAGUGACCUCCACCAUGGUAGUUAUCGUAACUACCGCACGGUAGCUGGCGCUGUUUUAAGUACCUUUCUGGUUGUGUCGACUACCCUAUUUUUUUCCCUGUAAGAAAUGUGAAUAACACUGUAAGCGUUACAUAUUUUUCAGAAAGGCAUGACAAAUAUUUACCAAAGUUUAAAUUAAAACUCUCAAAGAGAUCUUCCUGAUUAUUUAUCAACAUUUUUCGCUAAUUUAUUGAACUAUCUGUGCUUAGAUAUUUCGUUGGAUUGUCGAUCUUUUUAAUACAAACGCAAAAACAGUGCAGAUUUAAUAAGGAUGCCUCCAUCAGUUUCAAUGUUCAUUACAGAUUUAUUAAAUUAACAAUUAUUCAGUCGAACCGUCCAACUUUGUCCUUUUUUAACCGUCCUCGUUUCUAUAGCCAAAGUAUACACAAAUAGUCCAGCCACCCUCUUUGAAAAUUCAAAGGGUCAAGGGAUAAUGUUAACCAUUUUAUUAAUGUAAGCACCUCAGUACCUGAACCUGUUCCUUUUUCUUGUUGAUAUGUAACAUUUCUCUUAUCUGAUCUUUCCUUCUUGUUUUUUAUUCCACAACAAAUCAAAAUGUUUAACAUUUGUUGAGUCUUCAAAACGAAAAUAUAUGUUUCAAGAAGAUAAAAACAUAUUCUGGCUUGAAAAUAAGCUGUGGAUCCACAUCAAGUUACUGUUAAUUACCACAUAGGUUAGCUUAUUUUUAGCUCACUGUCAGUUGAAGCAGAUGUUUCGUUAUAGGGAGCAAUAAGUUACAAUAUUUUAUGUUUACUCCGCUCUACCUUCCAGUACUUAAACUUUUAAGCUAAAGGGCAUACCAAAUUCUUUAGUGUAAGUUUGUAAUUUUGUUUUAUUGUCUUGAUUUAAAUGUUUCCUUUUUAUAUAGGUAAUUUAAUUCUGUAAAUAAACCUAUUCAAAGUUAUUUCAUAAAGAAUUUGCUUUCAUUUUUUUUUAUUUCUCCUUCAUUCUAAUUACAAAAGAUUGCUUCGCAUAUUUAAAUUUACUCACGAACACAUUAAAAUUUAUAACAUUUUUUAUUUAAACAUGAAAGCUCUUUACCAUACUCAGACAGAAAAGUGUAUACACCUACCUACAUCCAUUGUGCACAGCAGUAAUGAGGGGCCGUGUCGAAACGAACACUAGAUGAAUGUCAAUACAACUCCUGAAUGCAACUAUUCGGGCUCCAUGGAUGUGCGUGUUGCAUACGCACAGAGGUGAAGGCGUUUUGCAGACACUAAUCGCGCUUGGUGGAGCAAAUCAGUGAGCGGAGUUAUGAAAACGUAGAAUCAUUAAAAGGGCUUAUCGAUAUUAAUUCGGAACGUAGAGGAUUGAGAUGUAGUUUCCUUGAUUUUCUUGUAAAAUUUCUUUCAAGAAACACCUCGUGCUGUUAAUAAUGUGAAGAAAUUAACAUCAAAAUUUGCAGUUUGCGUCGAAAACGUUAAGUCCAACCUCUCGGAAAGGCUCGUUCAAUUGUGUGAUGGGCUUCAAUGCGAGUAUUUAAAAUGAAAAAGUGCCUUCAAUUCUUCAUUUACACCUCGAGGACUUCUACUCGGCAUGAAUAAAUGCUCUACUAUAAUAUGCUCAGCACUUAUCAAAACUGAAUCACAAAAAUACUCACAUCCUACAGGGUGUCCGGAAGUUAUCGUACUUAACUUUCAGGAUAGCUUUUUCGGCUUAAAAUAUGACUUUUUAUCCCGAUGCAUAUAUGCCCA